This 497-nucleotide ribosomal RNA is filed under the name uncultured bacterium. RNAcentral's name for it is "partial 16S ribosomal RNA". It matches the Rfam family "Bacterial small subunit ribosomal RNA", at positions 28 to 507 of the family's 1533-position model. The record is from RNAcentral.
GAUGAACGUUGGCGGCGUGCCUAAUACAUGCAAGUCGAGCGAACAGACGAGGAGCUUGCUCCUCUGACGUUAGCGGCGGACGGGUGAGUAACACGUGGAUAACCUACCUAUAAGACUGGGAUAACUUCGGGAAACCGGAGCUAAUACCGGAUAAUAUAUUGAACCGCAUGGUUCAAUAGUGAAAGACGGUUUUGCUGUCACUUAUAGAUGGAUCCGCGCCGCAUUAGCUAGUUGGUAAGGUAACGGCUUAUCAAGGCGACGAUGCGUAGCCGACCUGAGAGGGUGAUCGGCGACACUGGAACUGAGACACGGUCCAGACUCCUACGGGAGGCAGCAGUAGGGAAUCUUCCGCAAUGGGCGAAAGCCUGACGGAGCAACGCCGCGUGAGUGAUGAAGGUCUUCGGAUCGUAAAACUCUGUUAUGAGGGAAGAACAAAUGUGUAAGUAACUAUGCACGUCUUGACGGUACCUAAUCAGAAAGCCACGGCUAACUACGUG